AUAAGCCACAAUCGCCUCACGACCGCAGAGGACGCGCAACAGCUGGCUGAGUGCAGUUCCCUCUCCUGUCUUGACCUUUCACACAAUAAGAUCAAUCAAGCGGAGAUUGUCCAGGUCUUGAGUGUCAUGCCAGAGCUCAGGGUACUGCAGCUAACAGGUAACCCGGCGACUCGUGAGGUGCGACCUUACCGCAACACCCUCAUCACAACUUGCUCGAACCUGACCUACUUGGACGACCGCCCUGUCUUCCCAGUGGACAGAGCCGCUGCCGAGGCAUGGCUUGAAGGCGGAGUGGAGGCUGAGAGAGCCAUGAGAAGGCAGUGGGCAGAGCGAGAUCACCAACGUCA
Molecule: long non-coding RNA, 347 nt
Organism: Penaeus chinensis
Lineage: Eukaryota; Metazoa; Arthropoda; Malacostraca; Decapoda; Penaeidae
Exons: 3
Source: RefSeq, a predicted model, not a curated record